Molecule: ribosomal RNA, 290 nt
Filed under: uncultured Thalassospira sp.
Lineage: Bacteria; Pseudomonadati; Pseudomonadota; Alphaproteobacteria; Rhodospirillales; Thalassospiraceae
Description: partial 16S ribosomal RNA
Rfam family: Bacterial small subunit ribosomal RNA
Source: RNAcentral
AACGAACGCUGGCGGCAGGCCUAACACAUGCAAGUCGAGGGAGAAGCUAUCUUCGGAUAGUGGAGACCGGCAGGGCGGGUGAGUAACACGUGGGAAUCUACCUAGUAGGUGGGGGAUAACAGUUGGAAACGACUGCUAAUACCGCAUACGCCCUUCGGGGGAAAGAUUUAUCGCUAUUAGAUGAGCCCGCGUUAGAUUAGCUAGUUGGUGAGGUAAGAGCUCACCAAGGCGACGAUCUAUAGCUGGUUUGAGAGGAUGAUCAGCCACACUGGGACUGAGACACGGCCCAG